AACGUACGCUGGCGGCACGCCUAACACAUGCAAGUCGAACGAAGUAGCAAUACUUAGUGGCAGACGGGUGAGUAACAUGUAGGUAUCUGCCCUUUGGCCUGGAAUAACACGAGGAAACUUGUGCUAAUACCGGAUAAGUCUUUACGGAGAAAGCUUUAUGCACCAUUGGAUGAGCCUGCACUUGAUUAGUUUGUUGGUGGGGUAAUGGCCUACCAAGACUGUGAUCAAUAGCUGAUUUGAGAGGAUGAUCAGCCGCAUUGGGACUGAGACACGGCCCAAACUCCUACGGGAGGCAGCAGUGGGGAAUCUUGCACAAUGGAGGAAACUCUGAUGCAGCGAUGCCGCGUGAGUGAAGAAGGCCCUUGGGUUGUAAAGCUCUUUCGUCGGGGAAGAAAAUGACUGUACCCGAAUAAGAAGGUCCGGCUAACUUCGUGCCAGCAGCCGCGGUAAUACGAAGGGACCUAGCGUAGUUCGGAAUUACUGGGCUUAAAGAGUUCGUAGGUGGUUGAAAAAGUUAGUGGUGAAAUCCCAGAGCUUAACUCUGGAACUGCCAUUAAAACUUUUCAGCUAGAGUAUGAUAGAGGAAAGCAGAAUUUCUAGUGUAGAGGUGAAAUUCGUAGAUAUUAGAAAGAAUACCAAUUGCGAAGGCAGCUUUCUGGAUCAUUACUGACACUGAGGAACGAAAGCAUGGGUAGCGAAGAGGAUUAGAUACCCUCGUAGUCCAUGCCGUAAACGAUGUGUGUUAGACGUUGGAAAUUUAUUUUCAGUGUCGCAGCGAAAGCGAUAAACACACCGCCUGGGGAGUACGACCGCAAGGUUAAAACUCAAAUGAAUUGACGGGGACCCGCACAAGUAGUGGAGCAUGUGGUUUAAUUCGAAGAUACGCGCAGAACCUUACCAACACUUGACAUGUUCGUCGCGACUCUAAGAGAUUAGAGUUUUCGGUUCGGCCGGACGAAACACAGGUGCUGCAUGGCUGUCGUCAGCUCGUGUCGUGAGAUGUUGGGUUAAGUCCCGCAACGAGCGCAACCCUCACUUUUAGUUGCCAUCAUUAAGUUGGGCACUCUGAAAGAACUGCCAGUGAUAAGCUGGAGGAAGGUGGGGAUGACGUCAAGUCCUCAUGGCCCUUACGUGUUGGGCUACACACGUGCUACAAUGGUAUCUACAACAGGAAGCAAGACUGCGAAGUUAAGCAAAUCCCUAAAAGAUACCUCAGUUCGGAUUGCACUCUGCAACUCGAGUGCAUGAAGCUGGAAUUACUAGUAAUCGUGGAUCAGCGUGCCACGGUGAAUGCGUUCCCGGGUCU
RNAcentral lists this ribosomal RNA (1306 nucleotides) under uncultured bacterium. Its description in RNAcentral is "bacterial SSU rRNA". It matches the Rfam family "Bacterial small subunit ribosomal RNA", at positions 28 to 1381 of the family's 1533-position model. The record is from RNAcentral.